This 254-nucleotide ribosomal RNA is filed under the name uncultured bacterium. Its description in RNAcentral is "partial 16S ribosomal RNA". It matches the Rfam family "Bacterial small subunit ribosomal RNA", at positions 524 to 776 of the family's 1533-position model. The record is from RNAcentral.
UACGUAGGGCGCAAGCGUUGUCCGGAAUUAUUGGGCGUAAAGAGCUCGUAGGCGGUCUGUCACGUCUGCCGUGAAAACCCGAGGCUUAACCUCGUGGCUUGCGGUGGAUACGGGCAGACUAGAGGUAGGUAGGGGAGAAUGGAAUUCCCGGUGUAGCGGUGAAAUGCGCAGAUAUCAGGAGGAACACCGGUGGCGAAGGCGGGUCUCUGGGCCGAUACUGACGCUGAGGAGCGAAAGCGUGGGGAGCGAACAGG